Non-coding RNA from Picea glauca (white spruce), 119 nucleotides. NCBI's taxonomy places the organism in Eukaryota, Viridiplantae, Streptophyta, Pinopsida, Pinales, Pinaceae. The record is from Rfam.
UACUAUGUACAUGCCUAUAGUGUUAAUGCAACAAAUCCCAUUAGAAUUACGUGGUUAAUCAUGCUUGGUAUGGAGUAGGACUAGGAUGGGUGACCUCCCAAGAAGUCCUAGUGUUUUAC